RNAcentral lists this ribosomal RNA (464 nucleotides) under Vreelandella stevensii. RNAcentral's name for it is "partial 16S ribosomal RNA". It matches the Rfam family "Bacterial small subunit ribosomal RNA", at positions 338 to 795 of the family's 1533-position model. Lineage: Bacteria; Pseudomonadati; Pseudomonadota; Gammaproteobacteria; Oceanospirillales; Halomonadaceae. The record is from RNAcentral.
CCUACGGGGUGCAGCAGUGGGGAAUAUUGGACAAUGGGCGAAAGCCUGAUCCAGCCAUGCCGCGUGUGUGAAGAAGGCCUUCGGGUUGUAAAGCACUUUCAGUGGGGAAGAAAGCCUUGGGGCUAAUACCCUCGAGGAAGGACAUCACCCACAGAAGAAGCACCGGCUAACUCCGUGCCAGCAGCCGCGGUAAUACGGAGGGUGCGAGCGUUAAUCGGAAUUACUGGGCGUAAAGCGCGCGUAGGCGGUCUGAUAAGCCGGUUGUGAAAGCCCCGGGCUCAACCUGGGAACGGCAUCCGGAACUGUCAGGCUAGAGUGCGGAGAGGAAGGUAGAAUUCCCGGUGUAGCGGUGAAAUGCGUAGAGAUCGGGAGGAAUACCAGUGGCGAAGGCGGCCUUCUGGACUGACACUGACGCUGAGGUGCGAAAGCGUGGGUAGCAAACAGGAUUAGAUACCCCAGUAGUC